UACGGGGGGAGCAAACGUUGUUCGGAAUCACUGGGCGUAAAGGGCGUGUAGGCGGCUGAAUAAGUGGGAUGUUAAAUCCCCGGGCUCAACCCGGGACCUGCAUCUCAUACUGUUCAGCUCGAGCACAUCAGAGGAGACUGGAAUUCCCGGUGUAGCGGUGAAAUGCGUAGAUAUCCGUAGGAACAUCCGAGGCGAAGGCGGCUCGCUGGAUCACAACUGACGCUGAGGGACGAAAGCUAGGGGAGCAAACAGG
RNAcentral lists this ribosomal RNA (253 nucleotides) under uncultured bacterium. RNAcentral describes it as "partial 16S ribosomal RNA". It matches the Rfam family "Bacterial small subunit ribosomal RNA", at positions 524 to 776 of the family's 1533-position model. The record is from RNAcentral.